This is a non-coding RNA of Kwoniella shandongensis, 91 nucleotides long. The record is from the annotation of a GenBank genome assembly. Lineage: Eukaryota; Fungi; Basidiomycota; Tremellomycetes; Tremellales; Cryptococcaceae.
GGGUUUGUAGUGUAGUGGUAUCGCGCUUCAUUUGGGAUCCGCUUUAGGUUCUUCAUUGAAGAGGUCCCGCGUUCGAUCCGCGGCUGACCCC